Molecule: ribosomal RNA, 253 nt
Filed under: uncultured Oscillospira sp.
Lineage: Bacteria; Bacillati; Bacillota; Clostridia; Eubacteriales; Oscillospiraceae
Description: partial 16S ribosomal RNA
Rfam family: Bacterial small subunit ribosomal RNA
Source: RNAcentral
UACGUAGGUGGCAAGCGUUGUCCGGAUUUACUGGGUGUAAAGGGCGUGCAGCCGGAGAGGCAAGUCAGAUGUGAAAUCCGCGGGCUCAACCCGCGAACUGCAUUUGAAACUGCUUCCCUUGAGUAUCGGAGAGGUAAUCGGAAUUCCUAGUGUAGCGGUGAAAUGCGUAGAUAUUAGGAGGAACACCAGUGGCGAAGGCGGCCUGCUGGACGGUGACUGACGCUGAGGCUCGAAGGUGUGGGUAUCAAACAGG